UACAGAGGGUGCGAGCGUUAAUCGGAAUUACUGGGCGUAAAGCGCACGUAGGCGGCUUGGUAUGUCGGGUGUGAAAUCCCCGGGCUCAACCUGGGAACUGCAUCCGAAACUGCCUUGCUAGAGUAUGGGAGAGGGAAGUGGAAUUUCCGGCGUAGCGGUGAAAUGCGUAGAUAUCGGAAGGAACAUCAGUGGCGAAGGCGACUUCCUGGACCAGCACUGACACUGAGGCACGAAAGCGUGGGGAGCAAACAGG
RNAcentral lists this ribosomal RNA (253 nucleotides) under uncultured bacterium. RNAcentral describes it as "partial 16S ribosomal RNA". It matches the Rfam family "Bacterial small subunit ribosomal RNA", at positions 524 to 776 of the family's 1533-position model. The record is from RNAcentral.